CGCCGCCGCCGCCGCAGGGGCUCAGAGCGCCCGGCUCCCUCAGCCAGAGGGGCGCGCCCGGCCCGGCUUCUGUCCGCCUGGCGUCUCCUUGCUCCUGCGGAACGCGCAGGCCGGCCCGCUAACUCUCAGGCCGCCGCUCCGGCCGCUGCUCGGGCUCCGGCUCGCGCUCCUCUGAGAAACCCACAAGCCCGGCAAGCCGCGGCGCUGGCGGCGGCGGCGGCGGCGGCGGCGGCAGGCGGCAUCCCAGGGUGAUAGGCCGGAGCAAUCGAGAGCCGAGCGCACGGCCGCGUGUGCAAUCCAGUAGCCGAGCGGAGGAGGAACUGCCGCCGAAGACAGCAAAAAUCGGGUGCAAACAGGACAGUCCAGGACCUGGACAAACAGGACAGGUGCAAACAGGACCUGGCAAAGCAACCACUGGUGCAGCAGUCCCUCUGUUCCAGAGUAUGUGAUGGCAAGUCUCAGGUGGUCAGGUAGCUGCCGCUCAUCCUACUGCACUCUUGGUAGAAAGAUGAAUGAAAACCAUAGCUGAGCUGUAAGCUUGCCGAGACCAAGCCUGGGUCACUCACUGACGUAGCUCAAAGCCCCAAGAAGGUCGGCAUCAUUGUGGUGCCUCUCUCCAGAAGAUGGUAACAAAAAUUGGAGUCAGCCAGCACACCAGGAUCCUUUUUCCUCUGUGGCAAGACCAAGAUAAUAAUGGUCACGGUCCUCUGGCCCUGUGGUUCUUUCAUGAAAACAGUGGCUGGUGGGUCCUGGACCUAUAACAGAACAGCACUUCUGCUGUCAAAAUCACAUCGGCCAUCAGAAGACUGAAGGAAUGGAAAGACCAGUGGAAAUGCCAUCAUUUGAGCAGCCUUGGCCUACAAUAGGUGAUUUAACUCAACAAAAUCAUAAUAAAAAGUGUUGGUGAGGGGUUGGGGAUUUAGCU
Molecule: long non-coding RNA, 925 nt
Organism: Onychomys torridus (southern grasshopper mouse)
Lineage: Eukaryota; Metazoa; Chordata; Mammalia; Rodentia; Cricetidae
Exons: 4
Source: RefSeq, a predicted model, not a curated record